RNAcentral lists this long non-coding RNA (209 nucleotides) under Mytilus galloprovincialis (Mediterranean mussel). The record is from RNAcentral. Lineage: Eukaryota; Metazoa; Mollusca; Bivalvia; Mytilida; Mytilidae.
UGAAGCAAUGCCAUAAACUGGUACAGUAAAUGGUAAGGGAUUAAAUCUGUAAUAAUUGGGCCACAGCUAGAAUUCAUAAUUUUACUAAUCACUUGUUGAUAUAUUUGAUCAACCCCCCAAAAAAACAUUUAUUAUCUCUAGCCAAAACAUAUAGCCCGGUGACCAAAGUCGGAAUUAUGAAAUUUGAAUAGUCAAAAAUAUUACACGGC